CUAAGCUAUUAGAACUAUUUUCAAAUACAACCACUAAACAACAUGCUUCUGCACCGAUUGGAAGAAGAUUGGACUUUAUUGCAAGUUAAUUGAAAUUUCACUAUUGGCCACAUGACCGAUACGUUUUCAAAAUCUUUACAGUCUUCUUUGUUACAAUUAUGUUAUUUGUACAAGCAUGCUUGACAGUGUCGAUGUUGUCAAAAUUUGAGCCAUUGAUUUUAAAAACAGUUUUUGAAAUGGAUGAAUGUGUGAUGUUUCAAACUAUGAAUUGUUAACCAAUAUUGUCAAAUUAAAUUGUACAUGUAGCAUUAUUCUCUUUGUUAAUCUCGUCAUUAUUGUGACUUUGCAGGUUCUUGGUUUUUUCCAGCCCUUCUGCAUCCUUAAUCAUCUCAGCAAAAAAAAGUUGAUAUCUCCUCUAUUGCCUAGGCAGCGAACUUCUUCAUAUCAAAUUUUGCAUUUAGAAGCAAAUGAACUGUUUCCAGCUGCGAUGUUUGAUAUAGUUCGGUAAGCAUAGAUAACUUGGUAGGUUCAUUCAUCUGAGCUAGCAAAGGAGCCAAAGCUCCAUGACUAAGCACAAGAU
This 580-nucleotide long non-coding RNA is filed under the name Olea europaea subsp. europaea. Lineage: Eukaryota; Viridiplantae; Streptophyta; Magnoliopsida; Lamiales; Oleaceae. The record is from RNAcentral.